RNAcentral lists this ribosomal RNA (201 nucleotides) under uncultured bacterium. RNAcentral's name for it is "partial 16S ribosomal RNA". It matches the Rfam family "Bacterial small subunit ribosomal RNA", at positions 28 to 224 of the family's 1533-position model. The record is from RNAcentral.
GAUGAACGCUAGCGGCAGGCUUAAUACAUGCAAGUCGAGGGGCAGCAGCUCUGUAGCAAUACAGAGGCUGGCGACCGGCAAACGGGUGCGGAACACGUACACAACCUUCCUUUAAGUGGGGAAUAGCCCGGGGAAACCCGGAUUAAUACCCGUACAUAUGAGUAGGCAUCACUUUAUUAAUUAUAGCUCAGGCGCUUAAUU